RNAcentral lists this ribosomal RNA (503 nucleotides) under Allobates femoralis (brilliant-thighed poison frog). RNAcentral's name for it is "partial 16S ribosomal RNA". It matches the Rfam family "Bacterial large subunit ribosomal RNA", at positions 1813 to 2539 of the family's 2925-position model. Lineage: Eukaryota; Metazoa; Chordata; Amphibia; Anura; Aromobatidae. The record is from RNAcentral.
ACAUCGCCUCUUGAUCAAUUAUAAGAGGUCAAGCCUGCCCAGUGACAUUGUUCAACGGCCGCGGUAUCCUAACCGUGCGAAGGUAGCGUAAUCACUUGUCCUUUAAAUAAGGACUAGUAUGAACGGCUUCACGAAGACUAUACUGUCUCCUUAAUCUAAUCAAUUAAACUAAUCUCCCCGUGAAGAAGCGGGGAUUCGUCUAUAAGACGAGAAGACCCUAUGGAGCUUUAAACAUCUAAGACACUUGAUUCUAUCUACUAAACUUCAUGCAACCUAUCAUUUUGUCUUAAGUUUUAGGUUGGGGUGACCACGGAGAAAAAUUAAACCUCCACAUAGAAAGAAAAUUCUUUUCUAAGCAAAAAGCCACAUCUUAACGCAUCAAUAAAUUGACUUAAAUUGACCCAAUUUCUUGCUCAACGAACCAAGUUACCCUAGGGAUAACAGCGCAAUCCGCUUUAAGAGCUCCUAUCGACAAGCGGGCUUACGACCUCGAUGUUGGAUCA